CAGUAGCCGCGGGAAUACGUAGGUGGCAAGCGUUGUCCGGAAUUAUUGGGCGUAAAGCGCGCGCAGGUGGUUUAAUAAGUCUGAUGUGAAAGCCCACGGCUCAACCGUGGAGGGUCAUUGGAAACUGUUAAACUUGAGUGCAGGAGAGAAAAGUGGAAUUCCUAGUGUAGCGGUGAAAUGCGUAGAGAUUAGGAGGAACACCAGUGGCGAAGGCGGCUUUUUGGCCUGUAACUGACACUGAGGCGCGAAAGCGUGGGGAGCAAACAGGAUUAGAUACCCCAGUAGUCCCUGUCUCUUAUAC
Molecule: ribosomal RNA, 301 nt
Filed under: uncultured bacterium
Lineage: Bacteria
Description: partial 16S ribosomal RNA
Rfam family: Bacterial small subunit ribosomal RNA
Source: RNAcentral